ACGAACGCUGGCGGCGUGCUUAACACAUGCACGUCGAACGGAAAGGCCCUGCUUUUGUGGGGUGCUCGAGUGGCGAACGGGUGAGUAACACGUGAGUAACCUGCCCUUGACUUUGGGAUAACUUCAGGAAACUGGGGCUAAUACCGGAUAGGAGCUCCUGCUGCAUGGUGGGGGUUGGAAAGUUUCGGCGGUUGGGGAUGGACUCGCGGCUUAUCAGCUUGUUGGUGGGGUAGUGGCUUACCAAGGCUUUGACGGGUAGCCGGCCUGAGAGGGUGACCGGCCACAUUGGGACUGAGAUACGGCCCAGACUCCUACGGGAGGCAGCAGUGGGGAAUAUUGCACAAUGGGCGGAAGCCUGAUGCAGCAACGCAGCGUGCGGGAUGACGGCCUUCGGGUUGUAAACCGCUUUCGCCUGUGACGAAGCGUGAGUGACGGUAAUGGGUAAAGAAGCACCGGCUAACUACGUG
RNAcentral lists this ribosomal RNA (467 nucleotides) under uncultured bacterium. Its description in RNAcentral is "partial 16S ribosomal RNA". It matches the Rfam family "Bacterial small subunit ribosomal RNA", at positions 29 to 507 of the family's 1533-position model. The record is from RNAcentral.